Molecule: non-coding RNA, 118 nt
Organism: Caenorhabditis elegans
Lineage: Eukaryota; Metazoa; Nematoda; Chromadorea; Rhabditida; Rhabditidae
Source: Ensembl
CAAACCGUUUGACGAUGCCCUUGGUGUGUGCCCGGCGGUGCCCCUCUCCGCCAAAAAAAGCGAAUUUUCAACGUCCCCAGUCAAAAACACGUGUCUGCGUCUCGUCAUCGCGCCGAUU